AAAUAUUGUAACAACAUUGAGUUUUACAUAGUAAUUAACUCAAAUGAUAUAUAGGGAAUUUGAAUAAUUAAUCAAGAAUUUGAUUAAUAUAUAUCUCAGAUGACAGUUACAUUUAAUUUUAUUGAUUAUGAAAAAUAGCUCAAUUGCCAAUACCAAUACUAAAUCACAGGGCACUGUAAUUUACUCAUUAAUAUGUCAAUAUUACAUUCUUCAUAUCAAUUAUUGUGAUAUCUCUUACUGUAAAUUAUUGCAGAUCAAAACCGUGGUAUGUCCAGCACACCACUAUAGACCUAUCAAUUUUCAAUAAAGUUAUCACGCCUUAUAAUUCAAGGAAAAGUAUUCUCUGGCCAUGAAAAUAUUAUCCUAUCCUUAUGAUAAAUUUAGUUUCUAAAUUUAGAGCUUGUAGCUAAAGACCAAAACAUUUCAGUGACUCGUAAUGUGAGUGGGGUGGAGUCCAAAGCCAAUCAUUUUAUAUAUGAGUUUUAAUAAUUCAACUAGUAAUACAUCAAACUACAAAUCACACAGAGUAAAAUAUGCGUACGAAAAUACAGACAAUAAACAUUUAAGAGACAUAACGGAAUCCAAAUAAAGAGAGAGAGAGAGAGAGAGAGAGAGAGAGAGAGAGAGAGAGAACGAGAGAGAGAGAGAGAGAGAGAAAAGUGUAGAAAGCGAGAGAGAUCACAGAAUGAGCUCAGGUAUGAAAAUCAUAGUCAGUAACUUUUAGAAGCCAACAACAAAUCAGAUCAUAACAACACUUUAAACCAGCAUUUAAAU
Long non-coding RNA from Carassius gibelio (silver crucian carp), 774 nucleotides. RefSeq lists it as uncharacterized. The record is from RefSeq and is a predicted model, not a curated record. The transcript is spliced from 2 exons. NCBI's taxonomy places the organism in Eukaryota, Metazoa, Chordata, Actinopteri, Cypriniformes, Cyprinidae.